GGGCCUGCACAAGCGGUGGAGCAUGUGGUUUAAUUCGAUGAUACGCGAGGAACCUUACCAGGGCUUAAAUGGGAAAUGACAGGGGCAGAGACGCCCCCUUCUUCGGACAUUUUUCAAGGUGCUGCAUGGUUGUCGUCAGCUCGUGCCGUGAGGUGUCAGGUUAAGUCCUAUAACGAGCGCAACCCCUACCGUUAGUUGCCAGCGUGUAAUGACGGGGACUCUAACGGAACUGCCGGUGCAAACCGUGAGGAAGGCGGGGACGACGUCAAGUCAUCACGGCCCUUACGUCCUGGCCACACACGUGCUACAAUGGUUGGUACAGAGGGCAGCUACCGGGUGACCGGAUGCGAA
Molecule: ribosomal RNA, 351 nt
Filed under: uncultured bacterium
Lineage: Bacteria
Description: bacterial SSU rRNA
Rfam family: Bacterial small subunit ribosomal RNA
Source: RNAcentral